This is a long non-coding RNA of Zalophus californianus (California sea lion), 750 nucleotides long. RefSeq lists it as uncharacterized. The record is from RefSeq and is a predicted model, not a curated record. Lineage: Eukaryota; Metazoa; Chordata; Mammalia; Carnivora; Otariidae. The transcript is spliced from 5 exons.
GUCACUAUGGCUUAAACGGUCCAGUGUGCUGCCCAUGUCCAUAUGGCCAGACUUCUCCAGGGCAAACCCAGCUACAAAGCUUUUUUAAAUUCCUCAAAACUGCGGGGCUCCUGGAUACCAAGCAAAAGGUCAGUCAGUGCUCUCAAGCUUCUAGAGCAAUAAAGGAAGACAGUAGAAUGGGAAGACAUCUUCACCAGCCAGACAAGAUGCCCUGUUACUCACGUAACUUUGUGAUAAUCUGAGAAGUUACUGAAGUGGAGUUCUCCCAGUCAUUUGGAGCAAAAAGAAUAGAAAAGGAGACAACAGCAACAAAUUGUUGGAAACUGGAAAGCUGAAAAGCCAGUGGUAACUAAUUUAGCAGACCAGAGAGAGCUGGGGAAAGCAGAGCAGCAACCAAAUUUACAUCACAGAAGCUGCAAAAGGAAUCAGUGACAAGGUCACCUAUGGAGGUCACAGAACUCUGGCAGCCAGACUGGAAACCCUUCAUACGAGAGAUUGUCUAAAAAAUAUGACAAGGACAAAAGAAAAGACCUAAAAAUGCAGAUGGGUGUAUCCAAGUAACAGCCCAGGUUACCAUGCUGUAAAGAAGCCCAGGCUACAUGGAGAGGACUUGUGUAGGUGUUCUGGCCAGCAGCUCCAGCAGAGAUACAGCUGACAGCUAACAUCAACUACCAGAAGAUGCCUCCAGAUGAUUCCACCUCAGCAGUUAAGUCACCCCCAGCCUUUAAGUCUUCCCAGCUGAGGAUCCAG